Bubalus bubalis (water buffalo) is the source of this 491-nucleotide long non-coding RNA. RefSeq lists it as uncharacterized. Lineage: Eukaryota; Metazoa; Chordata; Mammalia; Artiodactyla; Bovidae. The record is from RefSeq and is a predicted model, not a curated record. The transcript has 3 exons.
ACAAAACCGAGCCUCUUAAACAGUGCUGAGCUGCUUAGAGUUGAAACAUUUCAACAUAAAGAAUUUGUCUUCUAGUGGUGUUAGAAGUGAGGGUACUCUGAGAAUGAAGCUAUUUACCACUAUCUCACUAGUUCUUCUUUGAUCUUGACAACUGCCAUCAAUAUCAAGAAAUCAAACAACCCCAGGGAAAAACUGGACCUGUUCCCACCAUGGUGCACGUGCAGUAAGGAGCAUUCUUCUUGGUUCCCACACCCCUGCCUCAAAGUACAGCCAGUGACAGGACAGCGGCUCUGCUUUCACCUCUCUCACUACUGGCCAACUAGUGAACCUGUCAGCACUGCCUCGUCCCAGAAUAGCUGCAUGCCUCACUGGGGCACCUGAGCGAUAAGGUGAACAGAGCGAUAAGAUGGUGCUGAAAGUGAAGGAAGUGGUGCUGAAGACAUCUACAUCUGCCUCUGAAGGCAGCCCAACACCCCUGGAAGAGCACUCCC